UACGGAGGGUGCUAGCGUUGUUCGGAAUUACUGGGCGUAAAGCGCGUGUAGGCGGCCCGCUAAGUCUGAUGUGAAAGCCCGGGGCUCACCCCCGGAAGUGCAUUGGAGACUGGCGGGCUCGAGUCCCGGAGAGGAGGGUGGAAUUCCUGGUGUAGCGGUGAAAUGCGUAGAUAUCAGGAGGAACACCGGUGGCGAAGGCGGCCCUCUGGACGGUGACUGACGCUGAGGCGCGAAAGCGUGGGGAGCAAACGGG
RNAcentral lists this ribosomal RNA (253 nucleotides) under uncultured bacterium. RNAcentral describes it as "partial 16S ribosomal RNA". It matches the Rfam family "Bacterial small subunit ribosomal RNA", at positions 524 to 776 of the family's 1533-position model. The record is from RNAcentral.